This 1022-nucleotide long non-coding RNA is filed under the name Ananas comosus (pineapple). RNAcentral's name for it is "long non-coding RNA (ACOM_LNC019219)". The record is from RNAcentral. Lineage: Eukaryota; Viridiplantae; Streptophyta; Magnoliopsida; Poales; Bromeliaceae.
AGUCAACCGGAGAAUAUAUAUAUAUAUAUAUAUAUAGUUGAGCUAGAAUAUUAUCGAUAGCAAACGAGCUCCGUUGUCACCCAUUUGUUUUCGAUGAUAGAGCUUCCAAAUCGACGAUCAACACCGUUAAAUAUGAUCUAUACCACUUGAAGUGUUUAGAAAUCAAAUUUCAAAUCUUUUCGACAUCAUUUGCCUAAUGAUCAAAGGGUUUCAAAUUUUGUAAUCUUAAUGGUUGAUAUGAGGCAUUUUCUCGUUUAACGGCGUAAAGGUAUCAAAAUCAAUUGAAUUUUUGUUAGAAAAUUCUUUAAACUAUUUAAAACAAGAUCUAUACUCUUGAUCUUGAUUACAAAACUCUUAUCAUCAUUUUUUAAAGAAUAUUCAUUUUCAGCCGUUCAUUUUUGUGUCCACUCGAUGGAUAAGAGAACAAUAUCGAAAAUAUAUGAAAUUUGAUUUCUAAACACUUCAAGUGGUAUAGAUUAUGUUCAACGGUGCUGAUCGUCAAUUUGAAUGCUUCAUCAUCAAAAACAAAUGGGUGGCAACGGAACCCGUUUGCUUUCGAUAGUAUUCUAGCUCAACUCUAUAUAUAUAUAUAUAUAUAUAUAUAUAUAUAUAUAUAUAUAUAAUUCGGUUACUAUGCUAUUAAUAGUACGAAACACUUUGUGCUACCAAAUUUUUCGCCAUUAGAUCUACCAUUUUGAUCAUUUUUACCCGUUAAAUUAUACUAUACAACCAACCACCCACUGAAUCCUAGGAGGCCCAUAUCAUCUUAACCACAUGCACAUCUCUUAAUCCAAUGGCCAAACACUUAGUUAUGAUUGACUUUAAAACAUUGGUAAUAAACAUAUAUUAUCACAUGAUCACAAUAGCCUUAUGGUAAUCAUGAAAUUUUGAUAUUAACGAUUCUCUAAAGAUAACGACCUUAUAUGAUACAGUUGGUUGAAACUUAAUGGUUGGUACCGAAAAUCACAAGUUCAAAGUCUAAUUAUUUUACGUUUUUUACUGAAUUUUUUUAUAGAACUUUU